This 763-nucleotide ribosomal RNA is filed under the name Paenarthrobacter nitroguajacolicus. RNAcentral describes it as "bacterial SSU rRNA". It matches the Rfam family "Bacterial small subunit ribosomal RNA", at positions 73 to 851 of the family's 1533-position model. The record is from RNAcentral. Lineage: Bacteria; Bacillati; Actinomycetota; Actinomycetes; Micrococcales; Micrococcaceae.
CCCAGCUUUGCUGGGGGAUUAGUGGCGAACGGGUGAGUAACACGUGAGUAACCUGCCCUUGACUCUGGGAUAAGCCUGGGAAACUGGGUCUAAUACCGGAUACGACCAUCUGGCGCAUGUCAUGGUGGUGGAAAGCUUUUGUGGUUUUGGAUGGACUCGCGGCCUAUCAGCUUGUUGGUGGGGUAAUGGCCUACCAAGGCGACGACGGGUAGCCGGCCUGAGAGGGUGACCGGCCACACUGGGACUGAGACACGGCCCAGACUCCUACGGGAGGCAGCAGUGGGGAAUAUUGCACAAUGGGCGCAAGCCUGAUGCAGCGACGCCGCGUGAGGGAUGACGGCCUUCGGGUUGUAAACCUCUUUCAGUAGGGAAGAAGCGAAAGUGACGGUACCUGCAGAAGAAGCGCCGGCUAACUACGUGCCAGCAGCCGCGGUAAUACGUAGGGCGCAAGCGUUAUCCGGAAUUAUUGGGCGUAAAGAGCUCGUAGGCGGUUUGUCGCGUCUGCUGUGAAAGACCGGGGCUCAACUCCGGUUCUGCAGUGGGUACGGGCAGACUAGAGUGCAGUAGGGGAGACUGGAAUUCCUGGUGUAGCGGUGAAAUGCGCAGAUAUCAGGAGGAACACCGAUGGCGAAGGCAGGUCUCUGGGCUGUAACUGACGCUGAGGAGCGAAAGCAUGGGGGAGCGAACAGGAUUAAUACCCUGGUAGUCCAUGCCGUAAACGUUGGGCACCUAGGUGUGGGGGGGACAUUCCCACGUUUUCCCG